Molecule: ribosomal RNA, 483 nt
Filed under: uncultured bacterium
Lineage: Bacteria
Description: partial 16S ribosomal RNA
Rfam family: Bacterial small subunit ribosomal RNA
Source: RNAcentral
AUUGAACGCUGGCGGCAGGCCUAACACAUGCAAGUCGAGCGGAUGAAGGGAGCUUGCUCCUGGAUUCAGCGGCGGACGGGUGAGUAAUGCCUAGGAAUCUGCCUGGUAGUGGGGGAUAACGUCCGGAAACGGGCGCUAAUACCGCAUACGUCCUGAGGGAGAAAGUGGGGAUCUUCGGACCUCACGCUCUCAGAUGAGCCUAGGUCGGAUUAGCUAGUUGGUGGGGUAAAGGCCUACCAAGGCGACGAUCCGUAACUGGUCUGAGAGGAUGAUCAGUCACACUGGAACUGAGACACGGUCCAGACUCCUACGGGAGGCAGCAGUGGGGAAUAUUGGACAAUGGGCGAAAGCCUGAUCCAGCCAUGCCGCGUGUGUGAAGAAGGUCUUCGGAUUGUAAAGCACUUUAAGUUGGGAGGAAGGGCAGUAAGUUAAUACCUUGCUGUUUUGACGUUACCAACAGAAUAAGCACCGGCUAACUUCGUG